Molecule: ribosomal RNA, 253 nt
Filed under: uncultured bacterium
Lineage: Bacteria
Description: partial 16S ribosomal RNA
Rfam family: Bacterial small subunit ribosomal RNA
Source: RNAcentral
UACGGGGGGGGCAAGCGUUGUUCGGAAUUACUGGGCGUAAAGGGCUCGUAGGCGGCCAACUAAGUCAGACGUGAAAUCCCUCGGCUUAACCGGGGAACUGCAUCUGAUACUGGAUGGCUUGAGUUCGGGAGAGGGAUGCGGAAUUCCAGGUGUAGCGGUGGAAUGCGUAGAGAUCGGGAAGAACAUCAGUGGCGAAGGCGGUCUGCUGGGCCGUUGCUGACGCUGAGGCGCGACAGCGUGGGGAGCAAACAGG